This is a long non-coding RNA of Diospyros lotus (date-plum), 1021 nucleotides long. RefSeq lists it as uncharacterized. NCBI's taxonomy places the organism in Eukaryota, Viridiplantae, Streptophyta, Magnoliopsida, Ericales, Ebenaceae. The transcript is spliced from 3 exons. The record is from RefSeq and is a predicted model, not a curated record.
CGCUUCACUUCACAUGCUCCGUCGAUCAUUUUCCCCAAAUUCAAUCGCUUUCUUUUCUCCAUCCUUCCCGAAUGUUCCACCAUUGCCGAUUCCCCUCAAUUACGAGACUCUUCGACUCUCUUCGACUCGAUCUGGUUUCCUUGCUGCUUUUGUCCCUGGAUCAACCUCAACCGUUUUACGACUGAAAUCAUCUCUCACGCGUUAGGGGGUUUGCGAGACUGUGUUAAACCCUAGCUCGGAGGAAAAAAAGCUAUUUGUUCUCAGGGUCUCCUCUGAAGCGGGAACUGUGUUUAUAAUGGAAGAGAAUGAAGGGAUUCUUAGAUUUUUGAACAAUAAAAGUGUCAAAUGGAAAGAGUACGUUGCAGGUGUCAUCUAAGAAUUGGAUCAACGAUUUACCAGAGUGAAGUCACUAAUCAGUGACCCUAUUGAGACAGGUGCAUCUCCUCAAAUGUGUGGUAUGAACAAGCCGUUUCUUUGAUUGAAAGCAUGCCUGCAUGUGUUCAAUCACGUUGGGCUAACCUUUUUCCAAAAGUAGAGGGGAAGCACUUCUGAUGUCAUCUAGACUUCCAGGUGAGUGUACUGAAGGACCAAAAGUGAGAACCUGGAUAAGGAAAGACACAUGGACUUGAGAGCACCACUAACUAGGAGCCAGAUUAAUCCGGUUUCAGAGUGUGACUCGAGGCACCAUUGUCUCUUGCAAAAGCAGUUGAUGCCAUGCAAUAUCAUUCUGCUUCCGGGGACUAACCAUUAACUUAGGGGGCUGCGCCGGCAGUAGCAUGCAUGCAGACAGGGUUGGCAAAGGUUCACCUUGCUGAUGAAGAAAUAUUCCUCUACCGUGUGAUAUUCGGUUACAACCAUUUCAGGAGGAGGAAUUUGCUUAGCUGCUUUGAGCUUCUCAUCUCUUGUCUAUGCCAGCAGAUAGGUGCAGUGGAGUUGGCAAAUUUGUCCGUGCAGAAUGCACUAGACUAGCAAUAGUUGGUGAGACGAGCAGAGACUCAUGCCAUGCUAUAAAGGGCUGAGU